Non-coding RNA from Schistosoma margrebowiei, 78 nucleotides. The record is from Rfam. NCBI's taxonomy places the organism in Eukaryota, Metazoa, Platyhelminthes, Trematoda, Strigeidida, Schistosomatidae.
AGCUUUCUGAAUCCAUGCUGAGAUUUCAUCAGAAACCAACCGAUUAGGGCUGAUCAGACUUCUAAGAUAAGUGAAGUG